Gossypium raimondii (Peruvian cotton) is the source of this 2103-nucleotide long non-coding RNA. RefSeq lists it as uncharacterized. The record is from RefSeq and is a predicted model, not a curated record. Lineage: Eukaryota; Viridiplantae; Streptophyta; Magnoliopsida; Malvales; Malvaceae. The transcript has 3 exons.
CAACCUAAAACAAAUCCUAAGAAAUAGACAAAUCAGGCCCUCAAUGUAAUGGCCCAUAAAUCAAAAGAAACCUAAUAAGGUUGGCCUUAAGAAAAUAAAAACAAACUAACGGUAAAGUAAAAGAAAGCUUCUAGAAAUCUCAGUUGAACAGGAAACAGCUGGCCUCCAUUAUCUUUUCAUUUCCCAUCACCGACACAGCCAUUAAUAUUAGUAGAUUUCCCCAAAUCUUUUAACCUUCUGCUUCUCCUUUCAACAGUCGUCUCUUUUCUCUCAAUUUUGAUAUCUUGGACGUUCCCUCUCCACUGCUCGACGGACGAUAUUCGGAACCGCCCCAACCAGGUAAUGUCCUUCUCCCUUCUUUAAGGCUUCUGUUGCAACCAAAUGAGCAUACGUAUUUUCUGUUCUGGGAAUAUGACAAAAGCCGAUACUGUUAAAAAUUAUUUUUAUUUCUUGGAUAUCUUUUAUGAUAGCUCCGAUGGUCGAUCUGUCUUGUUCUGAGCUUUGACACUUUUUGAUAAUCAUUUUCGAAUCUCCUAUUAUUUGUAAGUCUUUGAGCCCCAUAGACCUUCCUAACUCUAAGGCUUGUAACCCUGCAUGUGCCUCUGCCGCGAAUGGAGUUGCUAUGUUGGUAUGGAUUACUGAUUUUGAAGCCAAAAUCUCCCCUCCCUCACCUCGAACAAUCAAACCUGAAGCAGAUCUUGCAUGUUGCUGAUCGAAAGCUGCAUCAAAGAAGACUGACACACUCGUUCUUCUUUCUUCAGUUCUCGGACCACCAUUUCCUGCCAAAUUACCAAAGCCCAUAACAGAAAAGUCGGCACUGUUCAUUUGACCCUAGACUAAAAACCCAUGACAUCUACGAAAGAUAUGAUUACAAUCAUCCUCUUCUUGGUUGCAUCGAGGACACUGGGCAUCAGCAACUAUACGUUUAAUCUUCAGAUUAGCAAAAGUAGGAAUGUAAUUCCAAGAGAUUCCCCAUAUUGUAAUUUUGACUUUCGAGGGGAUUUGUAAAUUCCAUAGCUUUUUGUAAAAGGCUUUAGUUUCAGUUUGUAAAUUAAUAGGAUUUUGAGUACCCUCCUGUAAUAGUUUGUAGGUGCUUCUAACCGAAAAUUUGCCAGAUGAUUCUCCUAUCCAGACUUGGAAGUCUUCAUUUGCUGACAUUGCCAAAGGAAUCUGCAAAAUCUUUUUAGCAACUUCCUUAUUGAAGGUAUUAAUAACUAUAUCAUCUUUCCACUUUCUUCUAUCUGCAUCAAUCAAGUCCGAUACUAAUGAAAUAUUUCCAUCUCUCUGUUGAUUUUGCAAUCUGUCUUCUUCACUGCCCAAAAUCCAGAGGUCCUUCCAAACAGAAAUACGAUCCCCCUUACCAACCCUCUAGCAAAGUCCUCCUUCCAAAAUACCUUUUGCCGACCAGAUACUCUUCCAGGUAAGCGAAGGUAAAUUCCCUAAUUGAGCAGUUAGAAAACACGCAUUCAGAUAAUAUUUAGCUUUCAAUACUCGAGCUAGCAAAGAAUCUGGAAAAUUAAUAAGAUACCAGCCCUGUUUAGCUAAUAAUGCAAUAUUAAAUUUAUCGAGUUUUCUAAAGCCAAGACCACCUGCUUUUUUCAAGACACACACAUCCUUCCACGCACACCAAUGAAUCCCCUUUUUCCCCAAUUUUUCCCCCACCAUAAUUUAGCUAUUAUACCUUCCAACUCGUUACAUAAAGACUUAGGAAGUAAGAAACACGCCAUAGAAUAAGUUGGAAUAGACUGUAGUACUGCUUUAAUGAAAACCUCUUUUCCACCUUGAGAAAGAUACUUGACACUCCAAUUAUCAAUUCUUUGUUUUAAUCUGUCCUUCAAACUUUGAAAAGCUGCCUUCUUGCCUCUAUCCACUAAAUUUGGAAGUCCUAAAUACCUUUCUGGAUUAUUUGAACUGCGAACAAGCAUCCGAGCAAUUACCCUUUUUCCUUCCUCCUGCGUAUUUGUACUAAAAAAGAUUGUGGAUUUAUUGUAAUUAACACAUUGGCCCAAACUUAGCUCGUAUUCCUUUAAAAUACUCUUCAAGACAGUAGCACCUCUCUCUGUGGCUUCUCCAAACAGAAUGCAAUCAUCCGUAAAUAACAAA